Molecule: ribosomal RNA, 418 nt
Filed under: uncultured bacterium
Lineage: Bacteria
Description: bacterial SSU rRNA
Rfam family: Bacterial small subunit ribosomal RNA
Source: RNAcentral
GAGGAAUAUUGCGCAAUGGAGGAAACUCUGACGCAGCGGCGCCGCGUGAAGGAUGAAUGCCCUCUGGGUUGUAAACUUCUGUAGAGAGGGAAGAAUGUCCGCCUUCGGCGGAUUGACGGUACCUCUAAAGUAAGCAUCGGCUAACUACGUGCCAGCAGCCGCGGUAAUACGUAGGAUGCGAGCGUUGUCCGGAAUUAUUGGGUUUAAAGGGUGCGUAGGCGGACUAAUAAGUCAGUGGUGAAAGCCUGCAGCUUAACUGCAGAAGUGCCAUUGAUACUGUUAGUCUUGAGUACAGUUGAGGUAGGCGGAAUGUGUCAUGUAGCGGUGAAAUGCUUAGAUAUGACACAGAACACCGAUUGCGAAGGCAGCUUGCUAAGCUGUAACCGACGCUGAGGCACGAAAGCGUGGGGAGCAAACA